This is a long non-coding RNA of Leptopilina boulardi, 348 nucleotides long. RefSeq lists it as uncharacterized. NCBI's taxonomy places the organism in Eukaryota, Metazoa, Arthropoda, Insecta, Hymenoptera, Figitidae. The transcript has 3 exons. The record is from RefSeq and is a predicted model, not a curated record.
GUUUUUAUCGCGUUUUAUAAUCGGUAAAAAAAAAGUGGUUUUUAAAGUAAUUUUAUUACAUUUCCGGAAGAAGAAGGAGGGGCCCGUCUUAUAAAGAAGAAGAUUGUGAUCAACAAGAGAGAAAAUUGGAAGUAAGAAAAGAAAAAUAAAUAAAAAAAAAAAGAGGGACGAAAAACAUAGAAAUCAUAGAGGGGAAGAAAAAGGUGGAACACUAAGAUCUCUUAUCACCAAAGGUCAAAUAGCAGUACUGCGGUUCAAUACUGAAAUACCGUAACCUUUUUUUUAAUUUAGGUUAUGUUUCUUUUUAAACAAAUACAGGGAUUAAAAUUAUGAAAAAUCUUAUCCAUG